This 49-nucleotide ribosomal RNA is filed under the name Metarhizium sp. HMIGD 18841. Its description in RNAcentral is "partial 28S ribosomal RNA". The record is from RNAcentral. Lineage: Eukaryota; Fungi; Ascomycota; Sordariomycetes; Hypocreales; Clavicipitaceae.
GUUGACCUCGAAUCAGGUAGGACUACCCGCUGAACUUAAGCAUAUCAAU